Molecule: non-coding RNA, 114 nt
Filed under: Lotharella globosa
Lineage: Eukaryota; Cercozoa; Chlorarachniophyceae
Source: RNAcentral
GUUGUUGGUUUUGUCCUGAGACAUGGGCUGCCACAACUCCCGGCGCCUGGCGGCCCGCAGCGACCAGCGCCGGCGCUCGCGCGACAGCACCCCCGAGAAGGACCGCGGGCGGCC